Molecule: non-coding RNA, 3618 nt
Organism: Pogona vitticeps (central bearded dragon)
Lineage: Eukaryota; Metazoa; Chordata; Lepidosauria; Squamata; Agamidae
Source: RefSeq, a predicted model, not a curated record
CCCAUUGGAAUGCAUUAAACGAGUUUCAGUGCAUUCCAAUGGGAAAUGGCUUUUCGCAUGACGACGAUUUUGCUUAAAAGCGAUUUUCCCGUCAUGCAGUGCACCACUGUAUCAGCAGGGAUUCUCCUGCUCAUUUAAGUCUGAGUGGUGGGGCCCAGGAGACUGGCAUGGUAAACAGAGAGUCUUAAAUGUAAUAGUCUAGAAAUUAUGAUCAAGAAAUUUUUGCAGAAUUCUGCCACAGCUCCUGAGGAAUUUGGUUUUCUUUGGUGGUUGUGAGUUGAUCUUGUCACAGGACUACAUUGACUGAUUUUUUUUGUCAUAGUAAGGGAAGGGAUGUAUAACAGAAUGUUAAAAGGAACAACAUAUUAAAUCAUGCAUUAAAAAUAGAGUGCAUAUUAUUUGUUGAUGGUUAGAUAUGUGUGUCAUUCAGUGAAAGCAGAUGAGAACCUCAGCAUUACUUAUCUAAGUCAUUCUUCAGAAAAUAUACUGACAACUCUUCAGCCCAUCUCUGUACCAUGCCUAGAAAUGUCUCCUCCUUGGGUACAGACUAAGGUAAUCCUCUACUAUAUACAAAUUGUUACUUUUAGUGAUUUUUGUGACUGCAAACAAUCAGUUCCUAUGCCACUAUGGGUACAACACAACUGUGUAGGACUUAUUUUUGUAUAAAAGUGAUAAAGAGAAUAGCUUGAUGUUUAGCCAAAGAGAGGAUACAUAUUUAAGAAUGAAUUAUAUCGCAGUAAGGAUUAACAUCAGAAAGAAGGAAAGAACUGAUUAAAAAUGGGAAACGUUCUGUAGGUAGCCAAAGCCGAAAAGGCUUUGGCCCCCUACAUUUUGGAUGACAUCUCCUAGAAUCCCAUAGCAUUGACCAUGCUAUGUGGGGCCAAGGGCAAUUGCAGGCCAAAGUAUCUGGAGAGCCAAAGGUUCCCUUUGUGCCUUCUUUAGAUGAGCUGUCUUCUACCUUUUUUUGGCCACAGCCAUAACCACAAUAUGAAAGAAAUAAAGUCCAAAUUAGGAUUUUAUAUAAGGCGGUGUGUGAAGAACUCUUUCCAGUUUGUUGCCCCCUCAAAUUUUGCCAGGGGUCCCCAUUGAGAAUGGGUACUUUAGAUCCUUAGUUGUCAACUGGUGUGUCAUGAACUGUAACUGAUACUUGAUCCAACCUAAAGUAAGUAACUAGGUAGCAUUGAUGAAUUUCUUUCGUGUCUGUUUGAAAACAAAGGAGAUCAAGAAAAGAGACAUAUGAAAAAUGCAUGGAACCUAACCAUGUAGGCUGCAGUUCAAGACACUUCCUGGGCCAGAAGAGUUUGAGAAUCACCAAUCUAUAAUCUUCACUCUCGUGAACCCAAGCAACUUCGAGAAAAUCUAAUGAUGUUGUUUUCCUGGAAGUCUCUGAUACAACUGCUGGAACGUGUGUGUGUGUGCGUGUGCGUGCGUGCGUGCGUGCGUGCGUGCGUGCGUGUGUGUUUUGCAGUGGGUGGAGCUGAGAGCUUAACCCUUCCCCUUGCUCAUUAGAUUCUUUUAGUGCCAACUAUCAACCUCCUGCCUCUCCCAUCACUAAACUGAGUUUGCAGUUGCAACCUUAUCACUGUUGCUGGUGAUGACAAGUUAAAGAAACAUUGUGAGGCAAAAUAAACAGUCAUUAUUUCAGUGCCCCUUUCCCAUCCCAGAAUCAAAAUAUUAUAGAGCAAAACAUGAGGAAAAACAAACCUAAUUCCCUACCUCCUCUACAAUUUUUAUCUUCCUGGUCCUUUUGCUAUUUAAGCAUUUCUGUUCUGAGCUAUCUUCACUUAGUCAUUCAUGCAUUUUUAUCACACUGCCAGGUUAGCACCAUUCCAUCUCCUUCUGUUAUCCUCUUUCAGAGGACAGUCUGAGUGAUCAAUUUGGCCGAGUUACCAAAUUCCUAAUGUGAGGGCCCAAUGACAUACAUGCCUAGUGGCAGAAAAGAAGUUAAGGCACUGGAGAACUAACUUUAAUGCGUACAAGUGGCCCAGGGCAGUGUAUUUUCCCAAAGGGUUGACAUGUGACAUUAUAAUGAAGAAUGGCAAGACAGUUAGAAAUACAUCAAGUACUGGCACCACUUACUUAACUAAACACAGUUAUCACCCAGUUUGCCUUUUCUGGUCAAAUACUUAGAAAUAGAAACAGUUUUGUUGGUAUGUUUUUGGUUCUACUUUUAAAUCUCAUGUUUCUAUAGCAACACAUUUUAUUUACUUGAAUUGUGUCCCAUUAGAAUACUCUCAAGAACAAAUCUGUUCUGUGACUCGUGAGCAUAUCCCAGGUUUCUUUUUCCAAGCUAGAGCUGCUUCGUAAACACUUGGCUGCUUGGGUUUGGCCUCCUCCCCCUGAGAAGUACAAGACAGGCAAGUAUUCCAGGAGGAGGGAGGAGGGUCUACACAGUAUGGAGUGACUGCGAUUGGAUCUUCUGCUACAUUUGCACUUCAGAGGAGCUUCCAUGUUGGCUAUCAGUGUGAUAGGUCUUCCGCUCAGUAGUGCUCCUAAUUGUACCCUAUUACUUUUCUCUUUAAAAUGUAUUGAUUGUCAUAAGAGGAAGCACUUCGAUGUGCUGUUCUUGACAACUCUGUUGUACUAACAGCAGCACCUAGUUUCCAGUCUUGAUAUGAGGUGGUUCAGCCUUCAGUGACGUGCAUUUUGUAAGAGUAUUAUCCUGCCUUCCCAAUCUGAGCUCUCAAGAUGUUUUUGUGUCUCUAUGGGCUUUAAACAUCGACUAUGUUAGCUGGUUCUUAUAGGAGUUGUAGCCUGCAAAAUUACAUUGUAAAAUGCCUAGAAAGUGUUUUAAGUGCUAUGGGGUAGUAUAUAAAUUGCACACUUUGCUCUUUUGCUUUUAAUCCCAUGAAAGACCUGAGGGCAAGUCUAUGUACAGAUUAUCCCCAUUCUGCUUCCCAGGGCUUUGUAAAAUACAAGUCUUUUCAUGCAUCAGAAUCCUCCUGCCCUUCAUAAUGUUCAUUCUUGCAUCUACUAGAUUAUAGAAUUGGGAAGCUUUCUCCAUUACUGUAUUGCCCACAAAAAUGUACAACAAGCAAAAAUCAAUAGGAAAAAGAAUGGAAACUGUCAAUGAAGAAAAAGACGCAGUUUUAUAGACUUAUGUUAGACUUUUAUCUCUCUCAAUAUCCAGAGAUCAUUGAGAGUAGUCAGUGUGCAAUCAAAUUGAACAUGGCAGUCUUAGUCUCUUCAGCUUAACGAGAAAGCAUGUUUUAAUGUAAAGUGCAGUAUGCAAUUAGGUAAUAAAGCAUGGUAAGGUAAUUUUCAGUUUUCAUUGUCUUGGUUUGCACCUGCAAGAAUUAAAGCUGUAAUAUAUAAUAGAGUUUGGAAUAUGUACUUUUUUGUCUCUAUGUAUGUGUACUAAUGGGUCUGUGUCUGCACAGAAGCAUUCCUUUGGAACUUUCUAGAUAUAUAGAGUGGCUUUUGGUGGUAGCCCUGGCCCUCUGUGAGUUCAUGUGCAUGCUGCUGUUCCACUCUGGUCAUCAUGGUCGCUGGCUCACUGCAGGAUCCUAGACUUGACAGGCCAAAAAACUUACUUUCAGGCUCUUAUGUCCAAACAUUUAGCAGAGGCACAAGAAUCCUUUGUGUGAGAUAGUUGUUUUCUGAGCGGGGAAGUGGCAA